UACGGAGGGGGUUAGCGUUGUUCGGAAUUACUGGGCGUAAAGCGCGCGUAGGCGGAUCAGAAAGUUGGGGGUGAAAUCCCGGGGCUCAACCCCGGAACUGCCUCCAAAACUCCUGGUCUUGAGUUCGAGAGAGGUGAGUGGAAUUCCGAGUGUAGAGGUGAAAUUCGUAGAUAUUCGGAGGAACACCAGUGGCGAAGGCGGCUCACUGGCUCGAUACUGACGCUGAGGUGCGAAAGUGUGGGGAGCAAACAGG
RNAcentral lists this ribosomal RNA (253 nucleotides) under uncultured bacterium. RNAcentral describes it as "partial 16S ribosomal RNA". It matches the Rfam family "Bacterial small subunit ribosomal RNA", at positions 524 to 776 of the family's 1533-position model. The record is from RNAcentral.